GGCCUCGUAGCUCAGCUGGUAGAGCAUACGCGUACAAAGCGUAGGCGGCGUCCAUGCGUGGGUUCGAAUCCCACCGAGGUUA
Non-coding RNA from Echinostoma caproni, 82 nucleotides. Lineage: Eukaryota; Metazoa; Platyhelminthes; Trematoda; Plagiorchiida; Echinostomatidae. The record is from Rfam.